CCAGGAGUAGCUCAAUGAUAGAGUACUUGCCUAGCAUGCAAGAGGCUUUGGGUUCAAUCCCCAGCACCAUGA
Ictidomys tridecemlineatus (thirteen-lined ground squirrel) is the source of this 72-nucleotide non-coding RNA. Lineage: Eukaryota; Metazoa; Chordata; Mammalia; Rodentia; Sciuridae. The record is from Rfam.